This is a long non-coding RNA of Osmia bicornis bicornis, 218 nucleotides long. RefSeq lists it as uncharacterized. The record is from RefSeq and is a predicted model, not a curated record. NCBI's taxonomy places the organism in Eukaryota, Metazoa, Arthropoda, Insecta, Hymenoptera, Megachilidae. The transcript is spliced from 2 exons.
GUAGGUGAUAAAAUCAACGGUUAAAACAACAAUUAUUCAUUAGUUUAAAGUAAACAGAACGUUAGUCUAAGAGAGAAUACUAUGCUGCUAUAAAAAAGGUCAAGAAAUGCUUAACCAUCUAGCGGUGGACUUCCGGUACUAACAGCACAAAUCCUGUUCCUCUUCCUUUAGUUGUGUUGUUCGUUACAAAAUGGUGUUGGCGGUAUUAUUUUCAAAGU